RNAcentral lists this ribosomal RNA (484 nucleotides) under uncultured bacterium. RNAcentral describes it as "partial 16S ribosomal RNA". It matches the Rfam family "Bacterial small subunit ribosomal RNA", at positions 30 to 507 of the family's 1533-position model. The record is from RNAcentral.
AUUGAACGCUGGCGGCAGGCCUAACACAUGCAAGUCGAGCGGAUGAAGGGAGCUUGCUCCUGGAUUCCGCGGCGGACGGGUGAGUAAUGCCUAGGAAUCUGCCUGGUCGUGGGGGAUAACGUCCGGAAACGGGCGCUAAUACCGCAUCCGUCCUGAGGGAGAACGUGGGGGAUCUUCGGACCUCACGCUAUCAGCUGAGCCUAGGUCGGAUUAGCUAGUUGGUGGGGUAAGGGCCUACCAAGGCGACGAUCCGUAACUGGUCUGAGAGGAUGAUCAGCCACACUGGAACUGAGACACGGUCCAGACUCCUACGGGAGGCAGCAGUGGGGAAUAUUGGACAAUGGGCGAAAGCCUGAUCCAGCCAUGCCGCGUGUGUGAAGAAGGUCUUCGGAUUGUAAAGCACUUUAAGUUGGGAGGAAGGGCAGUAAGUUAAUACCUGGCUGUUUUGACGUUACCAACAGAAUAAGCACCGGCUAACUUCGUG